RNAcentral lists this ribosomal RNA (314 nucleotides) under uncultured bacterium. RNAcentral's name for it is "bacterial SSU rRNA". It matches the Rfam family "Bacterial small subunit ribosomal RNA", at positions 28 to 339 of the family's 1533-position model. The record is from RNAcentral.
GACGAACGUUGGCGGCGUGCCUAAUACAUGCAAGUCAACUGAAAUACCGGUAGCAAUACUGGUAUGGAGGUGGCGCACGGGUGAGUAACACGUAGGUAAUCUGCCUUCAGGUCUGACAUAACCCAUCGAAAGGUGAGCUAAUAUCAGAUGAUGCAGCGGCUUGACAUCAAGACAGUUGUUAAAGCUUCGGCGCCUGAAGAUGAGCCUGCGUCUGAUUAGCUAGUUGGCGGGGUAACGGCCCACCAAGGCUGCGAUCAGUAGCUGGUCUGAGAGGAUGAUCAGUCACACUGGAACUGAGACACGGUCCAGACUCC